UACGUAGGGGGCUAGCGUUGUCCGGAUUUAUUGGGCGUAAAGAGCGUGUAGGCGGCCAGGUAGGUCUGCUGUGAAAACUCGAGGCUCAACCUCGAGAUGUCGGCGGAAACCAUCUGGCUAGAGUCCGGAAGAGGGAGAGUGGAAUUCCGUGGUGUAGCGGUGAAAUGCGCAGAUAUCAGGAAGAACACCCGUGGCGAAGGCGGCUCUCUGGGACGGUACUGACGCUGAGGAGCGAAAGCGUGGGGAGCGAACAGG
This 255-nucleotide ribosomal RNA is filed under the name uncultured bacterium. RNAcentral's name for it is "partial 16S ribosomal RNA". It matches the Rfam family "Bacterial small subunit ribosomal RNA", at positions 524 to 776 of the family's 1533-position model. The record is from RNAcentral.